GUGGGGAAUAUUGCGCAAUGGGGGAAACCCUGACGCAGCGACGCCGUGUGAGGGAAGAAGGCCUUCGGGUCGUAAACCUCUGUCAGAAGGGAAGAACCGCCGGGGGAUGAAUAAGUCCUCGGCCUGACGGUACCUUCAGAGGAAGCGCCGGCUAACUCCGUGCCAGCAGCCGCGGUAAUACGGAGGGCGCAAGCGUUAAUCGGAAUUACUGGGCGUAAAGCGUGCGUAGGCUGUUUGGUAAGUCAGGCGUGAAAGCCCUCGGCUCAACCGGGGAACUGCGUUGGAUACUGCCGGACUCGAGUCCCGGAGAGGGUGGCGGAAUUCCUGGUGUAGGAGUGAAAUCCGUAGAUAUCAGGAGGAACACCGGUGGCGAAGGCGGCCACCUGGACGGGUACUGACGCUGAGGCACGAAAGCGUGGGGAGCAAACAGGAUUAGAAACCCGUGUAGUCC
RNAcentral lists this ribosomal RNA (451 nucleotides) under uncultured bacterium. RNAcentral's name for it is "partial 16S ribosomal RNA". It matches the Rfam family "Bacterial small subunit ribosomal RNA", at positions 354 to 796 of the family's 1533-position model. The record is from RNAcentral.